Molecule: ribosomal RNA, 253 nt
Filed under: uncultured bacterium
Lineage: Bacteria
Description: partial 16S ribosomal RNA
Rfam family: Bacterial small subunit ribosomal RNA
Source: RNAcentral
UACGUAGGGUGCAAGCGUUAAUCGGAAUUACUGGGCGUAAAGCGUGCGCAGGCGGUUUUGUAAGACAGGCGUGAAAUCCCCGGGCUUAACCUGGGAACUGCAUUUGUGACUGCAAGGCUAGAGUACGGCAGAGGGGGAUGGAAUUCCGCGUGUAGCAGUGAAAUGCGUAGAUAUGCGGAGGAACACCAAUGGCGAAGGCAAUCCCCUGGGCCUGUACUGACGCUCAUGCACGAAAGCGUGGGGAGCAAACAGG